RNAcentral lists this ribosomal RNA (910 nucleotides) under uncultured eukaryote. Its description in RNAcentral is "SSU rRNA". It matches the Rfam family "Eukaryotic small subunit ribosomal RNA", at positions 566 to 1491 of the family's 1831-position model. The record is from RNAcentral.
GCCAGCAGCCGCGGUAAUUCCAGCUCCAAUAGCGUAUACUAAAGUUGUUGCGGUUAAAAGGCUCGUAGUUGGAUCUUGGAAUGUGUUCAAGCGGGUCAGCUUCUGGCUGUGCGCUGCUUGACGUGUUCUUCUAUUUGGUUUUGGUGCGGUGCGCUUAACUGCGUGUCGCUCCCGGCCGAAACGUUUACCUUGAAAAAAUUAGAGUGUUCAAAGCAGACCUGUUUGAGUCUGAAUAUUCGUGCAUGGAAUAAUGAAAUAUGAAUUCGGUUCUAUUUUGUUGGUUUUCGGAACUCGAGUUAAUGAUCAAGAGGGACAGACGGGGGCAUUCGUACUCUGCCGUUAGAGGUGAAAUUCUUGGAUCGGCGGAAGACGCGCAACUGCGAAAGCAUUUGCCAAGAAUGUUUUCUUUAAUCAAGAACGAUAGUCGGAGGUUCGAAGACGAUCAGAUACCGUCCUAGUUUCGACUGUAAACUAUGCCAGCUAACGAUCAGACAGAGUUCUCUACGACUUGUCUGGCAGUUUCCGGGAAACCAAAGCGUUUGGGUUCCGGGGGAAGUAUGGUUGCAAAGCUGAAACUUAAAGGAAUUGACGGAAGGGCACCACCAGGAGUGGAGCCUGCGGCUUAAUUUGACUCAACACGGGGAAACUCACCCGGCCCGGACACAGUGAGGAUUGACAGAUUGAGAGUUCUUUCUUGAUUCUGUGGGUGGUGGUGCAUGGCCGUUCUUAGUUGGUGGAGCGAUUUGUCUGGUUAAUUCCGAUAACGAACGAGACUCUGGCAUGUUAAAUAGUCGCGGAAGUGCGUAUGCACUUGCCGAAUUGACUUCUUAGAGGGACUAGUGAUUUUAAUUCACACGAGAUUGAGCAAUAACAGGUCUGUGAUGCCAGGCGAAUCGUUUAACUUGCAGAA